Molecule: ribosomal RNA, 253 nt
Filed under: uncultured bacterium
Lineage: Bacteria
Description: partial 16S ribosomal RNA
Rfam family: Bacterial small subunit ribosomal RNA
Source: RNAcentral
UACGUAGGGUGCAAGCGUUAAUCGGAAUUACUGGGCGUAAAGCGUGCGUAGGCGGCUAUGUAAGACAGAUGUGAAAUCCCCGGGCUUAACCUGGGAACUGCAUUUGUGACUGCAUGGCUGGAGUGCGGCAGAGGGGUAUGGAAUUCCGCGUGUAGCAGUGAAAUGCGUAGAUAUCUGGAGGAACACCGGUGGCGAAGGCGGCAUCCUGGACCGGCAUUGACGCUGAGGCGCGAAAGCCAGGGGAGCAAACGGG